UAUUUUCCUUUUUUGCCAGCAGCCGCGGUAAUACGUAGGGAGCGAGCGUUGUCCGGAAUGACUGGGUGUAAAGGGAGCGUAGGCGGGAUGGCAAGUCAGAUGUGAAACCUGAGGGCUCAACCUUCAGACUGCAUUUGAAACUGCUGUUCUUGAGUGAAGUAGAGGUAAGCGGAAUUCCUGGUGUAGCGGUGAAAUGCGUAGAGAUCAGGAGGAACAUCGGUGGCGAAGGCGGCUUACUGGGCUUUUACUGACGCUGAGGCUCGAAAGCGUGGGGAGCAAACAGG
RNAcentral lists this ribosomal RNA (284 nucleotides) under Ruminococcus callidus. Its description in RNAcentral is "partial 16S ribosomal RNA". It matches the Rfam family "Bacterial small subunit ribosomal RNA", at positions 494 to 776 of the family's 1533-position model. The record is from RNAcentral. Lineage: Bacteria; Bacillati; Bacillota; Clostridia; Eubacteriales; Oscillospiraceae.